RNAcentral lists this long non-coding RNA (1277 nucleotides) under Volvox carteri. RNAcentral describes it as "long non-coding RNA (VCAR_LNC002659)". The record is from RNAcentral. Lineage: Eukaryota; Viridiplantae; Chlorophyta; Chlorophyceae; Chlamydomonadales; Volvocaceae.
UUUUAACGCGAGCGUAUCGCCAAACGCAAGGGAUUGCGAAUGGCAUACGCGACUGCGAAUCCUGCGAAUGCAUGUGCUACCAUUUGAAUUUUACGCGAGUGACUGCGACUUGCGUGCGGGACUGCGAACUGUACGGCCAACCGUGCAAUACAAAAGCUUUACAAUAGCAGUACACGAGCUGUACAAAGUGCAAAGUGCACCGCCGUUGCACAUGACCUGCAGGUUCACAGCUGUGAACCACAGCACUCACUGCUUUCUUCAUACAUUUGAACUAUCCCUGAAUGACAGGUACGAAUUCAUAGCAAAUCCUAACAUGACCGAGGCAACUCAGCCAGCAACUCUUACCAUGGAAAAGGGUCCAACAGUCUAACGUCAGAAAAAAUCGACACACAAAUGUUAAGCGCAUGUAAAUGUACCACAAUACAUCCACUAUUGUCUUCUUAUUAAAGCGCUCAAUCCUCGCCUCCGCUGAUGUCAUCUUCACGAACGACGGCAUAUAUCUGCAUAUGAAAGGAUCACAACAAAUCAUUGUUUAGGCAGGAACACAUAGUUGUGAGCAUGUUACGUACAAUGACGGCUGUAGGUGUGACACCGGCAUAACGUGCCUCGAAAUAAGGCAAUAAAAAGCAUUUAGUUAAUAGCCAUGGUCUUGCAACCAGAGGCUUCAUACCUCCGAACGGCCGCUUCGUGGCCUGCCACGUGCCGUUUGAGCCCGACUCUUGUUCAUAUCCUUACCACCAUCCUUGCGCUUGUCCUAUUCCUUGCGAUUCUCCUGCUCGUGUCCUUGGAAUGUAAAAUGACAAGGCAUAAUGUCAGUGUAUGCACCUGCAUGAUGGCCACUUACUGCCGGUGGCGUCUAGUCCCCCUUUUCCUGCUUUCCCCUGCUUGCCUGCGAAUGAAUGCUGCGCCAUUAUAGAGGAAGAAAGACAGAUUCUUGUUAUGAAGAUGCUAAUUUAUUAGGCUUUACCUUACACUGUCGUCAUUGGAGGAUCAGCGUGAGUAUAAGCAAUGCAUACGCGCUAAACAACAAAUUCAAGAUAAUCUUAUUAGUGCAAUGCGCGCAAUGAAUUACUGCCCUGAGGACACGGGCAGCACUGGGCCUUACGCCCAACUUACUCCCAACUCCCAACUAACCCUCUUACUUAACGCAAGCUCGCAUAAGUUGUUGCGUCAGAGACAAAUGCCAAAGGAGAAGAUACCCCCUCUAACGGUUGAAAUACUGAACCACCACGGCGCUUCGUGCCGAGCCGCAAGAGGGCCAAAGACGUGAGAGCUGC